RNAcentral lists this ribosomal RNA (827 nucleotides) under uncultured Actinomycetes bacterium. Its description in RNAcentral is "bacterial SSU rRNA". It matches the Rfam family "Bacterial small subunit ribosomal RNA", at positions 555 to 1377 of the family's 1533-position model. The record is from RNAcentral. Lineage: Bacteria; Bacillati; Actinomycetota; Actinomycetes.
UGGGCGUAAAGGGCUCGUAGGUGGUUGAUCGCGUCGGAAGUGUAAUCUUGGGGCUUAACCCUGAGCGUGCUUUCGAUACGGGUUGACUUGAGGAAGGUAGGGGAGAAUGGAAUUCCUGGUGGAGCGGUGGAAUGCGCAGAUAUCAGGAGGAACACCAGUGGCGAAGGCGGUUCUCUGGGCCUUUCCUGACGCUGAGGAGCGAAAGCGUGGGGAGCGAACAGGCUUAGAUACCCUGGUAGUCCACGCUGUAAACGGUGGGUACUAGGUGUGGGGUCCAUUCCACGGGUUCCGUGCCGUAGCUAACGCUUUAAGUACCCCGCCUGGGGAGUACGGCCGCAAGGCUAAAACUCAAAGGAAUUGACGGGGCCCCGCACAAGCGGCGGAGCAUGCGGAUUAAUUCGAUGCAACGCGUAGAACCUUACCUGGGUUUGACAUGGAUCGGGAGUGCUCAGAGAUGGGUGUGCCUCUUUUGGGGUCGGUUCACAGGUGGUGCAUGGCUGUCGUCAGCUCGUGUCGUGAGAUGUUGGGUUAAGUCCCGCAACGAGCGCAACCCUUGUUCACUGUUGCCAGCACGUUAUGGUGGGGACUCAGUGGAGACCGCCGGGGUCAACUCGGAGGAAGGUGGGGAUGACGUCAAGUCAUCAUGCCCCUUAUGUCCAGGGCUUCACGCAUGCUACAAUGGCUGGUACAGAGAGUGGCGAGCCUGUGAGGGUGAGCGAAUCUCGGAAAGCCGGUCUCAGUUCGGAUUGGGGUCUGCAACUCGACCUCAUGAAGUCGGAGUCGCUAGUAAUCGCAGAUCAGCAACGCUGCGGUGAAUACGUUCCCGG